CUUCACAGUGAUGGCUGACCAGGGCUUCCUGACCUAUACAGGCUUCUGCUAUACAGGUGAUGGCCAGUCCUGGCGUCUGAGUGAUU
Talpa occidentalis (Iberian mole) is the source of this 86-nucleotide small nucleolar RNA. RefSeq annotates it as small nucleolar RNA SNORD86. NCBI's taxonomy places the organism in Eukaryota, Metazoa, Chordata, Mammalia, Eulipotyphla, Talpidae. The transcript has a single exon. The record is from RefSeq and is a predicted model, not a curated record.